Molecule: unclassified non-coding RNA, 349 nt
Filed under: Hevea brasiliensis (rubber tree)
Lineage: Eukaryota; Viridiplantae; Streptophyta; Magnoliopsida; Malpighiales; Euphorbiaceae
Source: RNAcentral
ACUUCACCUAGGUAAUGCCCAGGAAUGUACUUAAAGGAUGACUGCACAAUAAAGUAGUAAAUGGCUCCAAUUAUUCCCAAAUAUAUGACCUGGAGAGUAGGAUUAGGACGAUCACAACAAUAGUACUCAACACAGAAGAGUGCAUUGGAACCUUUUUGACCAAACAUAGCACCCACAAAGCGGCGGAAAUAAUCACAGGCACCAAAAGUGAGAAAAAAAUGGAUUUUUUGAAUGAAAGUGCCUUCGAAAAUAGGCCAUUGGCCGCAGAGGAAAGAAAUCAACACUAGCAGUGUCACCAGGCCAUGGAUUACAAGAAGCCAUUCCACCUCCAUCUCAAUUGAGCCUCAAA